GAGAGUAAGACAGUAGGAGAGUAAGACAGUAGGACAGUAGGACAGUAAGACAGUAGGAGAGUAAGACAGUAAGACAGGUAAGACAGUAGGAGAGUAAGACAGUAGGACAGUAAGACAGUAGGAGGAGUAAGACAGAAGGAGAGUAAGACAGUAGGAGAGUAAGACAGUAGGACAGUAAGACAGUAGGACAGUAAGACAGUAGGACAGUAGGACAGUAAGACAGUAGGAGAGUAAGACAGUAGGACAGUAAGACAGUACGAGAGUAAGACAGUAGGAGAGUAAGACAGUAGGACGGUAAGACAGUAGGUAGGUAAGACAGUAAGACAGUAGGACAGUAAGACAGUAAGACAGUAGGACAGUAAGACAGUAGGAGAGUAGACAGUAGGACAGUAAGACAGUAGGAGAGUAAGACAGUAGGAGAGUAAGACAGUAAGACAGUAGGACAGUAAGACAGUAAGACAGUAGGAGAGUAAGACAGUAAAGACAGUAGGACAGUAAGACAGUAGGACAGUAAGCCAGUAAGACAGUAAGAGAGUAAGACAGUAGGACAGUAAGACAGUAGGAGAGUAAGACAGUAAGACAGUAGGACAGUAAGACAGUAAGACAGUAGGAGAGUAAGACAGUAAGACAGUAGGACAGUAAGACAGUAGGACAGUAAGACAGUAGGAGAGUAAGACAGUAAGACAGUAGGACAGUAAGACAGUAGGACAGUAAGACAGUAGGACAGUAAGACAGUAGGAGAGUAUGACAGUAGGACAGUAAGACAG
This is a long non-coding RNA of Ictalurus punctatus (channel catfish), 767 nucleotides long. The record is from Ensembl. NCBI's taxonomy places the organism in Eukaryota, Metazoa, Chordata, Actinopteri, Siluriformes, Ictaluridae.